AACUCACACCAGGCCACGCAGGCGUCGCUCCAUUUUCAGUUCGACCGAGAAUCAUCCUGAGAAUGUGGCUGCAUCACCCCUGCCUUCACUGGAAACUCACACAAGGCCACGCAGGCGUCGCUACAUUUUGAGUUAGACCGAGAAUCAUCCUAAAUGUGAUCAAGCACCUGCUCCAAAAAGGGCAAAGGCAGCACACAGACAGUCCACCAUGUCAUGGAAGGAUCAGACCGAUAACGACACAGUUCCACAGACUCUGUGAUUCCUGCCUGUACGUGAACCUGAACCUCAACUGAGGUCUUCUGACUCUCCUUCUCCAUGUAGUCUAUUUAAAAUGUUUUUCCCGGACAGUGUUGUGUCAACUUUGUGCCACAACACAAAUGCUCAAGCUGCCAAGUCAAUAGCCAA
Molecule: long non-coding RNA, 405 nt
Organism: Silurus meridionalis
Lineage: Eukaryota; Metazoa; Chordata; Actinopteri; Siluriformes; Siluridae
Exons: 3
Source: RefSeq, a predicted model, not a curated record